This 1557-nucleotide ribosomal RNA is filed under the name Staphylococcus aureus. Its description in RNAcentral is "16S ribosomal RNA". It matches the Rfam family "Bacterial small subunit ribosomal RNA". Lineage: Bacteria; Bacillati; Bacillota; Bacilli; Caryophanales; Staphylococcaceae. The record is from RNAcentral.
UUUUAUGGAGAGUUUGAUCCUGGCUCAGGAUGAACGCUGGCGGCGUGCCUAAUACAUGCAAGUCGAGCGAACGGACGAGAAGCUUGCUUCUCUGAUGUUAGCGGCGGACGGGUGAGUAACACGUGGAUAACCUACCUAUAAGACUGGGAUAACUUCGGGAAACCGGAGCUAAUACCGGAUAAUAUUUUGAACUGCAUGGUUCAAAAGUGAAAGACGGUCUUGCUGUCACUUAUAGAUGGAUCCGCGCUGCAUUAGCUAGUUGGUAAGGUAACGGCUUACCAAGGCAACGAUGCAUAGCCGACCUGAGAGGGUGAUCGGCCACACUGGAACUGAGACACGGUCCAGACUCCUACGGGAGGCAGCAGUAGGGAAUCUUCCGCAAUGGGCGAAAGCCUGACGGAGCAACGCCGCGUGAGUGAUGAAGGUCUUCGGAUCGUAAAACUCUGUUAUUAGGGAAGAACAUAUGUGUAAGUAACUGUGCACAUCUUGACGGUACCUAAUCAGAAAGCCACGGCUAACUACGUGCCAGCAGCCGCGGUAAUACGUAGGUGGCAAGCGUUAUCCGGAAUUAUUGGGCGUAAAGCGCGCGUAGGCGGUUUUUUAAGUCUGAUGUGAAAGCCCACGGCUCAACCGUGGAGGGUCAUUGGAAACUGGAAAACUUGAGUGCAGAAGAGGAAAGUGGAAUUCCAUGUGUAGCGGUGAAAUGCGCAGAGAUAUGGAGGAACACCAGUGGCGAAGGCGACUUUCUGGUCUGUAACUGACGCUGAUGUGCGAAAGCGUGGGGAUCAAACAGGAUUAGAUACCCUGGUAGUCCACGCCGUAAACGAUGAGUGCUAAGUGUUAGGGGGUUUCCGCCCCUUAGUGCUGCAGCUAACGCAUUAAGCACUCCGCCUGGGGAGUACGACCGCAAGGUUGAAACUCAAAGGAAUUGACGGGGACCCGCACAAGCGGUGGAGCAUGUGGUUUAAUUCGAAGCAACGCGAAGAACCUUACCAAAUCUUGACAUCCUUUGACAACUCUAGAGAUAGAGCCUUCCCCUUCGGGGGACAAAGUGACAGGUGGUGCAUGGUUGUCGUCAGCUCGUGUCGUGAGAUGUUGGGUUAAGUCCCGCAACGAGCGCAACCCUUAAGCUUAGUUGCCAUCAUUAAGUUGGGCACUCUAAGUUGACUGCCGGUGACAAACCGGAGGAAGGUGGGGAUGACGUCAAAUCAUCAUGCCCCUUAUGAUUUGGGCUACACACGUGCUACAAUGGACAAUACAAAGGGCAGCGAAACCGCGAGGUCAAGCAAAUCCCAUAAAGUUGUUCUCAGUUCGGAUUGUAGUCUGCAACUCGACUACAUGAAGCUGGAAUCGCUAGUAAUCGUAGAUCAGCAUGCUACGGUGAAUACGUUCCCGGGUCUUGUACACACCGCCCGUCACACCACGAGAGUUUGUAACACCCGAAGCCGGUGGAGUAACCUUUUAGGAGCUAGCCGUCGAAGGUGGGACAAAUGAUUGGGGUGAAGUCGUAACAAGGUAGCCGUAUCGGAAGGUGCGGCUGGAUCACCUCCUUUCUAA